AGCAUUACUGACCAGGUCUGUUGCCUGGUACAAUCCAGUGGUGCGCUGAUAGUGACCCCUGGUAAGGAAACAAGGCUGAUCUUUAUUUGGGUGACUCUGUGCAAAAAGCAGGGAAACAGCC
RNAcentral lists this small nucleolar RNA (121 nucleotides) under Fukomys damarensis (Damara mole-rat). RNAcentral's name for it is "Small nucleolar RNA SNORA65 (ENSFDAG00000002433.1)". Lineage: Eukaryota; Metazoa; Chordata; Mammalia; Rodentia; Bathyergidae. The record is from RNAcentral.